CUCAUAAUAAUUGUUGUGGCGGUCAACAUGUGGACGAGAGCUAAAGAGAAGAAAACACAGACGGAGGAAAUCGCUGUGCGUUAUGAUGUAGAUGAUGAUACAGUGAACUAUGAAAACAUCAGAUCUCCUGAUGGAGUUUGACCAACACUUCUGCCUCCAUCAGACUCCACUGAUCAACUCGUCACCUUUUACUGGACUAGUUCAAGACUGGAAAUAACUAAAAGAAUCAU
This is a long non-coding RNA of Perca fluviatilis (European perch), 230 nucleotides long. RefSeq lists it as uncharacterized. Lineage: Eukaryota; Metazoa; Chordata; Actinopteri; Perciformes; Percidae. The transcript has 3 exons. The record is from RefSeq and is a predicted model, not a curated record.